CCUACGGGCGGCAGCAGUGGGGAAUAUUGCACAAUGGGGGAAACCCUGAUGCAGCGACGCCGCGUGAGUGAAGAAGUAAUUCGUUAUGUAAAGCUCUAUCAGCAGGGAAGAAAAUGACGGUACCUGAGUAAGAAGCCCCGGCUAACUACGUGCCAGCAGCCGCGGUAAUACGUAGGGGGCAAGCGUUAUCCGGAUUUACUGGGUGUAAAGGGAGCGUAGACGGCAGUGCAAGUCUGGAGGGAAAGGGGGGGGCUCAAACCCCGGACUGCUCUGGAAACUGUACGGCUGGAGUGCAGGAGAGGUAAGUGGAAUUCCUAGUGUAGCGGUGAAAUGCGUAGAUAUUAGGAGGAACACCAGUGGCGAAGGCGGCUUACUGGACUGUAACUGACGUUGAGGCUCGAAAGCGUGGGGAGCAAACAGGAUUAGAUACCCUUGUAGUC
This 440-nucleotide ribosomal RNA is filed under the name uncultured bacterium. RNAcentral's name for it is "partial 16S ribosomal RNA". It matches the Rfam family "Bacterial small subunit ribosomal RNA", at positions 338 to 795 of the family's 1533-position model. The record is from RNAcentral.